CCUGGUGGCUCAGAGGUUAAAGCAUUUGCCUGCAAUGCAGGAGACCCUGGUUCGAUUCCUGGGUCAGGA
Molecule: transfer RNA, 69 nt
Filed under: Capra hircus (goat)
Lineage: Eukaryota; Metazoa; Chordata; Mammalia; Artiodactyla; Bovidae
Also listed under: 1 other name
Rfam family: tRNA
About the family: Transfer RNA (tRNA) molecules are approximately 80 nucleotides in length. Their secondary structure includes four short double-helical elements and three loops (D, anti-codon, and T loops). Further hydrogen bonds mediate the characteristic L-shaped molecular structure. tRNAs have two regions of fundamental functional importance: the anti-codon, which is responsible for specific mRNA codon recognition, and the 3' end, to which the tRNAs corresponding amino acid is attached (by aminoacyl-tRNA synthetases). tRNAs cope with the degeneracy of the genetic code in two manners: having more than one tRNA (with a specific anti-codon) for a particular amino acid; and 'wobble' base-pairing, i.e. permitting non-standard base-pairing at the 3rd anti-codon position.
Source: Rfam by way of RNAcentral